UUCAUUUAUUUGGUCAUUAGUCUCCUCAUCUAAAAAACAGGAGGCAGUUUAGUAUCAUGGCUAAGGGCCUGAAUUCGGGAGAUAUGGAUAUGCCUCUGCCCAUAUUCUUUUUUCUUUUUUUUCGAGACGGAGUCUUGCUCUGUCGCCCAGGCUGGAGCGCAGUGGCGCAAUCUUGGCUCACUGCAACCUCUGCCUCCCGGGUUCAAGUGAUUCUCUUGCCUCAGCCUCCCAAGUAGCUGGGACUACAGGCACC
This 253-nucleotide long non-coding RNA is filed under the name Homo sapiens (human). RNAcentral's name for it is "HSALNT0015473". The record is from RNAcentral. Lineage: Eukaryota; Metazoa; Chordata; Mammalia; Primates; Hominidae.